RNAcentral lists this long non-coding RNA (270 nucleotides) under Setaria viridis. Its description in RNAcentral is "long non-coding RNA (SVIR_LNC000918)". Lineage: Eukaryota; Viridiplantae; Streptophyta; Magnoliopsida; Poales; Poaceae. The record is from RNAcentral.
AUAGGUUCAUAUAUUUCAAGUUGUGAUGUUCAUGGAUCAUGACUUCAUGAGUACACAACAAUCAAUAGCGGUAAAAUGUGCCGAACCAUAGCAAUAUAGCAUCAGUAUCUUAAAUUCGAGCCAUGAAUCAAUUUGAUUAUUUGAUUCGUUUGGAACUAAGUUAGCUCUUAGAUCUUUACGAAGAAUUGAUUUUUUGGGCGUUACAACUUUUCUUUGUGAUUUCGUUAUACAUUAAACCAUUUCAAGAGCUUCCAUGCACCUAUACCACCC